This is a long non-coding RNA of Mustela erminea (ermine), 386 nucleotides long. RefSeq lists it as uncharacterized. NCBI's taxonomy places the organism in Eukaryota, Metazoa, Chordata, Mammalia, Carnivora, Mustelidae. The transcript is spliced from 3 exons. The record is from RefSeq and is a predicted model, not a curated record.
GAACACUUCCAUAUUAUGUUAAGAAACUCUAGAUCUUAUUUAAACUUUGUGCUUUAAUUGGCAUUCUCUGAUACUGUUCAAUCAGGAGAAAGGCAAUGUUGAAAAUUCUGACUCCUGCUGGACCUCCUCUGACACCACCCCAGCUGGGACGAGGAUAGAGGCCUCAUUACUGCAAGGUUCCUGACUUCUUCAGUUCUGAGCAUGGGACACGGAACAGAAAAAGAAAACCAAGGAACACCACAUGUCAUUCUCUGGGCUCUAGACUGGGGAGCCUGUCUUCUUUUCCCCACUUUUCAGAUACUUCUCAUGUUUGUUUUAUGAAUAAAUGUCCAAGGUUUUUAGUUGUACUUAAAUAGGAGGAAUAGGAAAAAGUACAUCUACUCCAU